GGAGAGCUGGCAUAAUGGUCGAAUGCACCGCAAUCGAAAUGCUGUAUCCAAGCGACCGUAUCGGGGUUCGAAUCCCCCUCUCCGCCA
Molecule: transfer RNA, 87 nt
Filed under: Oricola cellulosilytica
Lineage: Bacteria; Pseudomonadati; Pseudomonadota; Alphaproteobacteria; Hyphomicrobiales; Ahrensiaceae
Description: tRNA-Ser
Rfam family: tRNA
About the family: Transfer RNA (tRNA) molecules are approximately 80 nucleotides in length. Their secondary structure includes four short double-helical elements and three loops (D, anti-codon, and T loops).
Source: RNAcentral